RNAcentral lists this ribosomal RNA (473 nucleotides) under Escherichia coli. RNAcentral's name for it is "bacterial SSU rRNA". It matches the Rfam family "Bacterial small subunit ribosomal RNA", at positions 1 to 470 of the family's 1533-position model. The record is from RNAcentral. Lineage: Bacteria; Pseudomonadati; Pseudomonadota; Gammaproteobacteria; Enterobacterales; Enterobacteriaceae.
AAAUUGAAGAGUUUGAUCAUGGCUCAGAUUGAACGCUGGCGGCAGGCCUAACACAUGCAAGUCGAACGGUAACAGAAAGCAGCUUGCUGCUUUGCUGACGAGUGGCGGACGGGUGAGUAAUGUCUGGGAAACUGCCUGAUGGAGGGGGAUAACUACUGGAAACGGUAGCUAAUACCGCAUAACGUCGCAAGACCAAAGAGGGGGACCUUCGGGCCUCUUGCCAUCGGAUGUGCCCAGAUGGGAUUAGCUUGUUGGUGGGGUAACGGCUCACCAAGGCGACGAUCCCUAGCUGGUCUGAGAGGAUGACCAGCCACACUGGAACUGAGACACGGUCCAGACUCCUACGGGAGGCAGCAGUGGGGAAUAUUGCACAAUGGGCGCAAGCCUGAUGCAGCCAUGCCGCGUGUAUGAAGAAGGCCUUCGGGUUGUAAAGUACUUUCAGCGGGGAGGAAGGGAGUAAAGUUAAUACCUUU